AAUUAUUUCUUCAAGCGGAGCAUUGAUAAAAACGUGAAAAUGUAUUUCGCAUAAUACAAACAUGUAAAGAUGAAAGAAGAUGUCAUGGAAGAAUGCCAGCCAAAUCUUCUUUCUUUUCAUAUUCAUGAUUGUGAAUGAAAUUCGAGAUAUUCAGUGUACUAAUUAAGAAAGAGAUGUAACGAUAAAAUCAAGUAACUUGGCCAACCACUGCAUAUUGCACAUGAAAAAUCUGCAGUGGAUUCAACAUACACUUUGAAAAGAAAACAUAGAAGGUGUUUGGCUAAGCUUAUAAGUUGGUUAAACUAGGAGUAUUUUUUGGCUUAUCUACGCACUUAUAAGUUAAGUGCUUAUAAGCCAAAAGUUAUAAGUUUGUCUCCCCCAACUUAUCAAAUUUCAGCUUAUAAGCACUUUAGGUUUGACCAAAAUAUUUACUAUUAUAUCCCUAAAAUACAUAUUUUUAAAACAAAACUCUUUGUAUACCUAGUUCUUCAGCUGCUUAUUAUUAAUUUCAGUACUUUUAUUCAAACACGUAACUGUUUAUUUUUUAAAUUAGAUUCACUACUUAAAAGUGUUUUUCAUCACCUAAUGCUUAUCAACUACGCUAAACAGAAGCUAGUCUUAAUUCAAAUAACGAGCCGACGGGUCGCAAGAGCUGCUGAACUGAAUCAUUAAGUAGACGCCUGCACUGUCCGCAUAUCAUCCUGUAUCAACCACGGUGGAAGUCCAAUUAGGUAUCCAGCAGCAACAACAAUAACAAUAAUGACCCCGUAUCGUUCCACAAGUGAGAUCUGGGGAGGGUAGUAUGUACGGAGCCUUAACUCAACCCAUCCCCGAUGGGGUGAGGAUCGAAGAGAAAACUUUAUUACAGUGAAGAUGCAAAUAAGUAUUCACAUCUUUAAGCCUUUAUCCAGUUUCAAUGUAAGUAGAGUAUCGAUACCAAGAUAAAGCAGUAAGUCCAUACACAAUUCUUCAUUGCAUCAUUUUGGAAAAUGAACUAUGUAAUUGAUGAAGCUUUCUUAAAUUCCCUUGUAUAUAAGUACUAUAAAAGCAAUGGGCCAUAGAAGAAUGAGAAACAGAAUAUAUGGAAUAAGUUUGAGCAACACCAAAUAUAAGGAUUCGUAAGGUUGGAAGUUCCUAAACAUGAUGGCUUUCAACUGGUUACCAAAGAGGAAAAACUUGUUUAAAGUGCUGGAAAACAAAGAAUAAUUUUCUCCCUCUACUCAUUUACAGCCAAUCUGUAUAAGUCCAAAAAAAAUUUAAGCAAUCGAAUUCAAAUUUUGAAUAUCACCUUUAUUUUGUUGUUAGGCGUCUGUUUUGCACAUGCUUCACAAAGUUAUUUAUUAAAGCCUAAAUUUAUCAAUGUCUAAACAUUUUUUUCCUAAAUUACACAUAUGUCUACAAUAUAACACGAACUAUCAAGUACAACAAUUUAGAAUUAUGACUAAGCAUAUAAUAUUAGAAUUGAAAAGUAACAACAGCAGGAACACAACGACAAUACAACAUGAAUAUUUUACGGAGAAACACGCAGCAUAAAAAACUGUUGAUAGUCGAACAAUGUGGAAAAAAAAUGUAGAAAUUACCUCUUACAGUCGUAGGUGUCGCUCUUUCCCCCCUAGAGUACCUGUACAUAAAAAAUUAGACACUCCAAAUUGCGAAGCCAUAUAUUCCAAGUAAAUAAUUCACAAACUGCAGAACAAAUCUUUGACGAAAGAACAACUUGAAUUUGUAAGUCUUGCUAUGAAAAAUCAAAUUGUGCCCAACCUAACUCACAAGUCACAACCAAAAAAUAAUAAUCUAGAGUUGAGAAUGUGUCUACGCAUGCGUUGUUCAUUUUUUUGUUGCCUCUCUUACACCCGGAGGAUGACAUAAAAUCAAAUAGAAAGCUAAAAUUCAUUGAAGAGUUUUAUCAAACACGUCAAGACCAAAGGAUUGUACUCAAGAAUUCAAAAUAAAAAAAAAAAUUAAACUUUAGAAGCAAAGGGACUGGCGAAGAACUUCAGCCAAGUCCCAGUGUCGUUUGUCAAGAAAAUGCUACCGAUCAAAGAGAUCGAAUGUGUGAUGGCUUGCAUGGUUAAUUGAAAAAAUAGAAAAUUAUUUUCUUAGCAUUUCUGUAUUUCCCCUUUUCUUAUUAGAAAGUUUAUAUCUCAAACUGAAAGCCAUGAGACUGAAAACCUAUAAAAGUUCCCUAACUCAGCUUAUACUAUUCUUGUAACCACAUCCUUUGGUGUUCAAACGACAAUCAUAAAGUUCAACUGUGUAAAAAAGAAGCAGAAAAUUGCAAAAAGAACCGCCAGUAGAAUGAAAAUAAACGAAAAGAGAAAGAACUUACCCGAGAAUAACCCAAGCUAUCGGAAGAAGAAGAACCACUGGAAUGGACAUGACCAGAGAAAGGAAAUUAAGUUGAUUUCACAUUACUAUUACUAUUCAGAAAGCUCAAAUUAAAUUGCAAAUAAAAGACGCGUCUGCAAUUUGUACUUUGUAGCAAAGUGAACACGUCUAUACCAUUCAAGGUUAAAGGUACAAUCACA
This 2528-nucleotide long non-coding RNA is filed under the name Nicotiana benthamiana. Its description in RNAcentral is "long non-coding RNA (NBEN_LNC041368)". Lineage: Eukaryota; Viridiplantae; Streptophyta; Magnoliopsida; Solanales; Solanaceae. The record is from RNAcentral.